Molecule: long non-coding RNA, 369 nt
Organism: Mizuhopecten yessoensis (Yesso scallop)
Lineage: Eukaryota; Metazoa; Mollusca; Bivalvia; Pectinida; Pectinidae
Exons: 3
Source: RefSeq, a predicted model, not a curated record
CGCUCUCCUUGUAGUCACACUUGACGAUUGAGAUCCUUACAAUUCGAAGAUGAACAGCAAUCUCAUAUUUACCAUUCUGCUAGUAUCCGUUGGCCUGCUAUGCCUUGGAGGUGUCACCCCAGUUGAAGGUAAGCCGCCGAAAUGCAAUUGCCAAAGGAGAUGCAAACACGGUGAACGUUCAGAGGGUCCUUGUAGGCUUAGAGGUUAUCGCUCUGGGGUAACAUGUUGCCGGAAGCGACGUGGCUAGGACGUGUUUCAUUCGUUUAUUCCCUAACAGGGAGGAAGUGGAUAAGGACUUCAAUCCUGAAUUUCAAAUUAUUCACUUUGAAUUGUGAGAAUAGUUUAUAUCAUUAAAAUUAUUCUUCAAAA